RNAcentral lists this ribosomal RNA (502 nucleotides) under uncultured bacterium. RNAcentral describes it as "partial 16S ribosomal RNA". It matches the Rfam family "Bacterial small subunit ribosomal RNA", at positions 30 to 523 of the family's 1533-position model. The record is from RNAcentral.
AUUGAACGCUGGCGGCAUGCCUUACACAUGCAAGUCGAACGGCAGCACGGGUGCUUGCACCUGGUGGCGAGUGGCGAACGGGUGAGUAAUACAUCGGAACGUACCCUAUCGUGGGGGAUAACGUAGCGAAAGUUACGCUAAUACCGCAUACGACCUGAGGGUGAAAGCAGGGGAUCGCAAGACCUUGCGUUAUACGAGCGGCCGAUGUCAGAUUAGCUAGUUGGUGAGGUAAAGGCUCACCAAGGCGACGAUCUGUAGCGGGUCUGAGAGGAUGAUCCGCCACACUGGGACUGAGACACGGCCCAGACUCCUACGGGAGGCAGCAGUGGGGAAUUUUGGACAAUGGGCGCAAGCCUGAUCCAGCAAUGCCGCGUGCAGGAAGAAGGCCUUCGGGUUGUAAACUGCUUUUGUACGGAGCGAAAAGGCUCCCUCUAAUACAGGGGGCUUAUGACGGUACCGUAGGAAUAAGCACCGGCUAACUACGUGCCAGCAGCCGCCGCGG